AUUGAACGCUGGCGGCAUGCUUUAUACAUGCAAGUCGAACGGUAACAGGCCUUCGGGUGCUGACGAGUGGCGAACGGGUGAGUAAUGCAUCGGAACGUGCCCAGAGGUGGGGGAUAACGCAGCGAAAGCUGUGCUAAUACCGCAUGUGAUCUGAGGAUGAAAGCGGGGGACCAAGCAGCAAUGUUUGGCCUCGCGCCUCUGGAGCGGCCGAUGUCAGAUUAGGUAGUUGGUGGGGUAAAGGCCUACCAAGCCGACGAUCUGUAGCUGGUCUGAGAGGACGACCAGCCACACUGGGACUGAGACACGGCCCAGACUCCUACGGGAGGCAGCAGUGGGGAAUUUUGGACAAUGGGCGCAAGCCUGAUCCAGCAAUGCCGCGUGCGGGAAGAAGGCCUUCGGGUUGUAAACCGCUUUUGUACGGAACGAAAAGGCUCUGGCUAAUACCUGGGGCUGAUGACGGUACCGUAAGAAUAAGCACCGGCUAACUACGUG
Molecule: ribosomal RNA, 492 nt
Filed under: uncultured bacterium
Lineage: Bacteria
Description: partial 16S ribosomal RNA
Rfam family: Bacterial small subunit ribosomal RNA
Source: RNAcentral